Long non-coding RNA from Elgaria multicarinata webbii, 825 nucleotides. RefSeq lists it as uncharacterized. The record is from RefSeq and is a predicted model, not a curated record. The transcript is spliced from 2 exons. NCBI's taxonomy places the organism in Eukaryota, Metazoa, Chordata, Lepidosauria, Squamata, Anguidae.
UGCCGGCCGUUCAAACCAGAACCCUGCCCUACAGCCCUUCUGUGGCUCCUCUCCCUCUCUGUCUCCCUCCGUCUGUCUGCCUGCCUGCCUGCCUGCCUGCCUGCCUGCUUGCUGAGGACAUAGCGAAGUCAGUAGCACUAGGCACUAUUAUGUAGCCCUGUUGGUCGGGCGGAAUGGGCCCCUCUUUCCUUGAAGGAGCAGCCUGACUGAAACUGGCUUGGCACUUUCCCAUGGCCUCUGAAAAUAGACAAGGUUUCAAGCUCCAAUAUGUAGACUGGGAAGAACUACCCUGAGGUUAGCUGGGAUAUUGGAAUAGAUUUUGUUUUGAGGGUGGGGAAAAGGAAUGCAACAUAUUCAACAGAUGGGCUUCUUUUCUGCUUGUUGUUUCACCUUGUGUGGGACAUGACCUUCAAAAGGGAGGGAAGGUGUCUAUGUUUCCCAGACAGGCUUUUUUCCUGUCACCCCAUUUUCCUUCACCAUCCCUGUCUGCCGCCCUUUUCAUCACAGGAGAAGUUUCUGGAGGGCUUUCAGUGUUCUGGAACGAGGAGUGUUCUGGGUUCCAUGGCACAGAAGGCUCCCAGGGGGCUGAACUGAGCAUGGUCUGGAAUAUGUAACUCUGUGAAAUUUGUGAUGGUGACAUGGUUGCAGGAUCCAGAGAUGUAAGGAUUUGCAAUAUUGAUAGAUUGCAGAGGAACCCACGGACCUGCAAUUUGGAACUUUUUAGAGCACUGUGCACUUUUGAAUGCAGGAUCGUCUUGAGUUGUAGCAUGGAUUGUUUUUAAAAUCUACUUUCCUAAGUAACUUGGUUUGUACUAGAAAUGCUUU